UCGGGGAUCGUCUAAUGGUAGGACAGCGGGUUUUGGUCCCGCCAGUGGGGGUUCGAGCCCUCCUCCCCGAGCCA
RNAcentral lists this transfer RNA (74 nucleotides) under Deltaproteobacteria bacterium. RNAcentral's name for it is "tRNA-Gln". It matches the Rfam family "tRNA". From Rfam's summary of the family: Transfer RNA (tRNA) molecules are approximately 80 nucleotides in length. Their secondary structure includes four short double-helical elements and three loops (D, anti-codon, and T loops). Further hydrogen bonds mediate the characteristic L-shaped molecular structure. tRNAs have two regions of fundamental functional importance: the anti-codon, which is responsible for specific mRNA codon recognition, and the 3' end, to which the tRNAs corresponding amino acid is attached (by aminoacyl-tRNA synthetases). tRNAs cope with the degeneracy of the genetic code in two manners: having more than one tRNA (with a specific anti-codon) for a particular amino acid; and 'wobble' base-pairing, i.e. permitting non-standard base-pairing at the 3rd anti-codon position. The record is from RNAcentral. Lineage: Bacteria; Pseudomonadati; Myxococcota; Myxococcia. RNAcentral also lists the same sequence under 1 other name.